This 293-nucleotide ribosomal RNA is filed under the name uncultured bacterium. Its description in RNAcentral is "partial 16S ribosomal RNA". It matches the Rfam family "Bacterial small subunit ribosomal RNA", at positions 335 to 645 of the family's 1533-position model. The record is from RNAcentral.
GGUCCUACGGGACGCAGCAGUGGGGAAUAUUGCACAAUGGGGGAAACCCUGAUGCAGCGACGCCGCGUGAGUGAGGAAGUAUUUCGGUAUGUAAAGCUCUAUCAGCAGGGAAGAAAAUGACGGUACCUGACUAAGAAGCCCCGGCUAACUACGUGCCAGCAGCCGCGGUAAUACGUAGGGGGCAAGCGUUAUCCGGAUUUACUGGGUGUAAAGGGAGCGUAGACGGAAAGGCAAGUCAGAAGUGAAAGCCCAAGGCUCAACCAUGGGACUGCUUUUGAAACUGUCAAACUAGA